This 1422-nucleotide ribosomal RNA is filed under the name metagenome. RNAcentral's name for it is "bacterial SSU rRNA". It matches the Rfam family "Bacterial small subunit ribosomal RNA". The record is from RNAcentral.
AGAGUUUGAUCCUGGCUCAGGAUGAACGCUGGCGGCGUGCUUAACACAUGCAAGUCGAACGAUCCUUCGGGAUAGUGGCGGACGGGUGAGUAACGCGUGGGAAUCUGCCCUCAGGAGGGGGAUAACGGCUGGAAACGGCCGCUAAUACCCCAUAUGCCGAGAGGUGAAAUGAAUUUCGCCUGAGGAUGAGCCCGCGUCUGAUUAGCUAGUUGGUGGGGUAAAGGCCUACCAAGGCAACGAUCAGUAGCUGGUCUGAGAGGAUGAUCAGCCACACUGGGACUGAGACACGGCCCAGACUCCUACGGGAGGCAGCAGUGGGGAAUUUUCCGCAAUGGGCGAAAGCCUGACGGAGCAACGCCGCGUGAGGGAUGAAGGCCUCUGGGCUGUAAACCUCUUUUCUCAAGGAAGAAGACCUGACGGUACUUGAGGAAUAAGCCACGGCUAAUUCCGUGCCAGCAGCCGCGGUAAUACGGGAGUGGCAAGCGUUAUCCGGAAUUAUUGGGCGUAAAGCGUCCGCAGGCGGCCUUGUAAGUCUGUUGUUAAAGCGUGGAGCUCAACUCCAUUUAAGCAAUGGAAACUACAAGGCUGGAGUGUGGUAGGGGCAGAGGGAAUUCCCGGUGUAGCGGUGAAAUGCGUAGAUAUCGGGAAGAACACCAGUGGCGAAGGCGCUCUGCUGGGCCAUAACUGACGCUCAUGGACGAAAGCCAGGGGAGCGAAAGGGAUUAGAUACCCCUGUAGUCCUGGCCGUAAACGAUGAACACUAGGUGUCGGGGGAAUCGACCCCCUCGGUGUCGUAGCCAACGCGUUAAGUGUUCCGCCUGGGGAGUACGCACGCAAGUGUGAAACUCAAAGGAAUUGACGGGGGCCCGCACAAGCGGUGGAGUAUGUGGUUUAAUUCGAUGCAACGCGAAGAACCUUACCAGGGUUUGACAUCCUGCGAACCCCUGAGAAAUCGGGGGGUGCCUUCGGGAGCGCAGAGACAGGUGGUGCAUGGCUGUCGUCAGCUCGUGUCGUGAGAUGUUGGGUUAAGUCCCGCAACGAGCGCAACCCACGUCUUUAGUUGCCAGCAUUCAGUUGGGCACUCUAGAGAGACCGCCGGUGAUAAACCGGAGGAAGGUGUGGAUGACGUCAAGUCAUCAUGCCCCUUACAUCCUGGGCUACACACGUACUACAAUGCUACGGACAAAGGGCAGCAAGCUCGCGAGAGUUAGCAAAUCCCAUAAACCGUGGCUCAGUUCAGAUCGUAGGCUGCAACUCGCCUACGUGAAGGAGGAAUCGCUAGUAAUCGCAGGUCAGCAUACUGCGGUGAAUACGUUCCCGGGCCUUGUACACACCGCCCGUCACACCAUGGAAGUUGGCCAUGCCCGAAGUCGUUACUCCAACCCUUGUGGAGGAGGACGCCGAAGGUGGGGCUGAUGACUG